CCUACGGGUGGCUGCAGUGGGGAAUAUUGGACAAUGGGGGCAACCCUGAUCCAGCCAUGCCGCGUGUGUGAAGAAGGCCCUCGGGUUGUAAAGCACUUUCAGUGAGGAAGAACGCCUGGUGGUUAAUACCCAUCAGGAAAGACAUCACUCACAGAAGAAGCACCGGCUAACUCCGUGCCAGCAGCCGCGGUAAUACGGAGGGUGCGAGCGUUAAUCGGAAUUACUGGGCGUAAAGCGCGCGUAGGUGGCUUGAUAAGCCGGUUGUGAAAGCCCCGGGCUCAACCUGGGGACGGCAUCCGGAACUGUCAAGCUAGAGUGCAGGAGAGGAAGGUAGAAUUCCCGGUGUAGCGGUGAAAUGCGUAGAGAUCGGGAGGAAUACCAGUGGCGAAGGCGGCCUUCUGGACUGACACUGACACUGAGGUGCGAAAGCGUGGGUAGCAAACAGGAUUAGAUACCCGGGUAGUC
RNAcentral lists this ribosomal RNA (465 nucleotides) under Vreelandella stevensii. Its description in RNAcentral is "partial 16S ribosomal RNA". It matches the Rfam family "Bacterial small subunit ribosomal RNA", at positions 338 to 795 of the family's 1533-position model. The record is from RNAcentral. Lineage: Bacteria; Pseudomonadati; Pseudomonadota; Gammaproteobacteria; Oceanospirillales; Halomonadaceae.